Molecule: ribosomal RNA, 422 nt
Filed under: uncultured bacterium
Lineage: Bacteria
Description: bacterial SSU rRNA
Rfam family: Bacterial small subunit ribosomal RNA
Source: RNAcentral
UGAGGAAUAUUGGGCAAUGCCCGCAAGGGUGACCCAGCAACGCCGCGUGGAGGAUGAAUGUCGUAAGAUUGUAAACUCCUGUUAGAGGGGAAGAAUAGUACCGGUUGGACCGGUAUAUGACUGUACCCUCAGAGAAAGCCCCGGCUAACUACGUGCCAGCAGCCGCGGUAAUACGUAGGGGGCAAGCGUUGUCCGGAUUUACUGGGUGUAAAGGGCGCGCAGGCGGGAUAAAAAGUCAGUGGUUAAAUCCUACAGCUUAAAUGUAGAACUGCCUUUGAUACUUUUAUUCUUGAGUUCGGGAGAGAGAGACGGAAUUCCAGGUGUAGUGGUGAAAUACGUAGAUAUCUGGAAGAACACCAGUUGCGAAGGCGGUCUCUUGGUCCGACACUGACGCUGAGGCGCGAAAGCGUGGGGAGCAAACA